UACGUAGGGGGCGAGCGUUGUCCGGAUUUAUUGGGCGUAAAGAGCUCGUAGGCGGUUUGGUAAGUUGGAUGUGAAAUCUCCAGGCUCAACUUGGAGGGGUCAUUCGAUACUGCCAUGACUAGAGUUCGGUAGGGGAGUGUGGAAUUCCCGGUGGAGCGGUGAAAUGCGCAGAUAUCAGGAGGAACACCCGUAGCGAAGGCGGCACUCUGGGCCGGAACUGACGCUGAGGAGCGAAAGCGUGGGGAGCGAACAGG
Molecule: ribosomal RNA, 254 nt
Filed under: uncultured bacterium
Lineage: Bacteria
Description: partial 16S ribosomal RNA
Rfam family: Bacterial small subunit ribosomal RNA
Source: RNAcentral